Molecule: long non-coding RNA, 272 nt
Organism: Lontra canadensis (Northern American river otter)
Lineage: Eukaryota; Metazoa; Chordata; Mammalia; Carnivora; Mustelidae
Exons: 3
Source: RefSeq, a predicted model, not a curated record
GGAAGACAGUGGAUGGAUCCUGGACAUGACCUUGCUCCUUAGUGACCCACGACAGUCACCCUGGAGGCUGUUUCCUGAAGUGGCAACCCCAUGGCUCGGAUUUGUCCUCACCCACAACAUCACGUCCUGCUAUCUGCCUUUCCCACCAGAACCACUGAGAAAGUUUGGGGACCAAAGACCACAAUCAAAAUCUGAACAGUUUUCAUUCCUGCAAGGAUGUCUAGUAUGGUUCUUUAUAACCAUAUCCAGCUACCUCUUGCCACCGUUCCUAA